AUACUACUGCUGAGUGGUCUCCCAUCCUAGUACUAACCAGGCCUGACCUUGCUUAGCCUCCAGGAUCAGAUGAGGCGCAUGCAGCAGCACAAAUACUAAACUUGGAACAAUAUAGAGAAGGUCAGCACAGCCUCUACUCCAUGUGGAAAAGAGUGGUUUUCUGAGAACCAGAGGAUCCCGUUGACAGUCGAAAUAUCCCACGUCAUAUAAAGCUGUCAACACCUGAGGGUGAGGUUCCCCAGGAUCAUAUUAGAAAUGGUUACCAUACUCCUCAACAGGAAGCAACAGCUUGGCUAUGAGGAGAGAAAAGAUACUGCAAAGUGCCUUCCAGUCCACCUUCAUAAACAUCAUGCUGAACUGGACCCAGCGAUCACAGACCCAAGGAUGAGGUCACUCUGGUGGGGAAGAGAAAUGAGGCAACACCCCUCCAUGUUAAAGACUGUCCUGUAAAUGGAGCACAUGCAUCUGCAUGGUGCAGAAGUAUCCACCCCCG
Molecule: small nuclear RNA, 493 nt
Filed under: Fukomys damarensis (Damara mole-rat)
Lineage: Eukaryota; Metazoa; Chordata; Mammalia; Rodentia; Bathyergidae
Description: lncRNA (ENSFDAG00000025619.1)
Source: RNAcentral